UGGGGAAUAUUGCACAAUGGGCGCAAGCCUGAUGCAGCCAUGCCGCGUGUGUGAAGAAGGCCUUCGGGUUGUAAAGCACUUUCAGCGAGGAGGAAGGCGUUAAGGUUAAUAACCUUAGCGAUUGACGUUACUCGCAGAAGAAGCACCGGCUAACUCCGUGCCAGCAGCCGCGGUAAUACGGAGGGUGCAAGCGUUAAUCGGAAUUACUGGGCGUAAAGCGCACGCAGGCGGUUUGUUAAGUCAGAUGUGAAAUCCCCGAGCUUAACUUGGGAACUGCAUUUGAAACUGGCAAGCUAGAGUCUUGUAGAGGGGGGUAGAAUUCCAGGUGUAGCGGUGAAAUGCGUAGAGAUCUGGAGAAAUACCGGUGGCGAAGGCGGCCCCCUGGACAA
RNAcentral lists this ribosomal RNA (389 nucleotides) under uncultured bacterium. RNAcentral describes it as "partial 16S ribosomal RNA". It matches the Rfam family "Bacterial small subunit ribosomal RNA", at positions 355 to 736 of the family's 1533-position model. The record is from RNAcentral.